RNAcentral lists this ribosomal RNA (253 nucleotides) under uncultured bacterium. RNAcentral describes it as "partial 16S ribosomal RNA". It matches the Rfam family "Bacterial small subunit ribosomal RNA", at positions 524 to 776 of the family's 1533-position model. The record is from RNAcentral.
UACGUAGGGUGCGAGCGUUGUCCGGAAUUAUUGGGCGUAAAGAGCUCGUAGGCGGUGUGUCGCGUCGGCCGUGAAAACCUGGGGCUUAACUCUGGGCGUGCGGUCGAUACGGGCAGGCUAGAGUUCGGUAGGGGAGACUGGAAUUCCUGGUGUAGCGGUGAAAUGCGCAGAUAUCAGGAGGAACACCGGUGGCGAAGGCGGGUCUCUGGGCCGAUACUGACGCUGAGGAGCGAAAGCGUGGGGAGCGAACAGG